AGACCCGAAACCCGGUGAUCUAGCCAUGGGCAGGUUGAAGGUUGGGUAACACUAACUGGAGGACCGAACCGACUAAUGUUGAAAAAUUAGCGGAUGACCUGUGGCUGGGGGUGAAAGGCCAAUCAAACCGGGAGAUAGCUGGUUCUCCCCGAAAGCUAUUUAGGUAGCGCCUCGUGAAUUCAUCUCCGGGGGUAGAGCACUGUUUCGGCUAGGGGGCCAUCCCGGCUUACCAACCCGAUGCAAACUGCGAAUACCGGAGAAUGUUAUCACGGGAGACACACGGCGGGUGCUAACGUCCGUCGUGAAGAGGGAAACAACCCAGACCGCCAGCUAAGGUCCCAAAGUCAUGGUUAAGUGGGAAACGAUGUGGGAAGGCCCAGACAGCCAGGAUGUUGGCUUAGAAGCAGCCAUCAUUUAAAGAAAGCGUAAUAGCUCACUGGUCGAGUCGGCCUGCGCGGAAGAUGUAACGGGGCUAAACCAUGCACCGAAGCUGCGGCAGCGAACGUAUCACCCAAGACAACUUUACGGAGUUGACGAUUGACGGAGCGAAGCGACGUCAAAGCGUUCAUUAAAGUCGAGUUGGCUUAGGGAUACGUUCGUUGGGUAGGGGAGCGUUCUGUAAGCCUGUGAAGGUGUGUCGUGAGGCAUGCUGGAGGUAUCAGAAGUGCGAAUGCUGACAUAAGUAACGAUAAAGCGGGUGAAAAGCCCGCUCGCCGGAAGACCAAGGGUUCCUGUCCAACGUUAAUCGGGGCAGGGUGAGUCGACCCCUAAGGCGAGGCCGAAAGGCGUAGUCGAUGGGAAACGGGUUAAUAUUCCCGUACUUGGUGUUACUGCGAAGGGGGGACGGAGAAGGCUAUGUUGGCCGGGCGACGGUUGUCCCGGUUUAAGCGUGUAGGUGUGUGUUCCAGGUAAAUCCGGUUCACUUUAACACUGAGGCGUGACGACGAGGCACUACGGUGCUGAAGCAACAAAUGCCCUGCUUCCAGGAAAAGCCUCUAAGCAUCAGGUAACAUCAAAUCGUACCCCAAACCGACACAGGUGGUCAGGUAGAGAAUACCAAGGCGCUUGAGAGAACUCGGGUGAAGGAACUAGGCAAAAUGGUGCCGUAACUUCGGGAGAAGGCACGCUGACACGUAGGUGAAGUGAUUUACUCAUGGAGCUGAAGUCAGUCGAAGAUACCAGCUGGC
Molecule: ribosomal RNA, 1187 nt
Filed under: Salmonella enterica subsp. enterica serovar Typhimurium
Lineage: Bacteria; Pseudomonadati; Pseudomonadota; Gammaproteobacteria; Enterobacterales; Enterobacteriaceae
Description: partial 23S ribosomal RNA
Rfam family: Bacterial large subunit ribosomal RNA
Source: RNAcentral